This 497-nucleotide ribosomal RNA is filed under the name uncultured bacterium. Its description in RNAcentral is "partial 16S ribosomal RNA". It matches the Rfam family "Bacterial small subunit ribosomal RNA", at positions 28 to 507 of the family's 1533-position model. The record is from RNAcentral.
GAUGAACGCUGGCGGCGUGCCUAAUACAUGCAAGUCGAGCGAACAGAUGAGGAGCUUGCUCCUCUGACGUUAGCGGCGGACGGGUGAGUAACACGUGGAUAACCUACCUAUAAGACUGGUAUAACUUCGGGAAACCGGAGCUAAUACCGGAUAAUAUAUUGAACCGCAUGGUUCAAUAGUGAAAGACGGUUUUGCUGUCACUUAUAGAUGGAUCCGCGCCGCAUUAGCUAGUUGGUAAGGUAACGGCUUACCAAGGCGACGAUGCGUAGCCGACCUGAGAGGGUGAUCGGCCACACUGGAACUGAGACACGGUCCAGACUCCUACGGGAGGCAGCAGUAGGGAAUCUUCCGCAAUGGGCGAAAGCCUGACGGAGCAACGCCGCGUGAGUGAUGAAGGUCUUCGGAUCGUAAAACUCUGUUAUUAGGGAAGAACAAAUGUGUAAGUAACUAUGCACGUCUUGACGGUACCUAAUCAGAAAGCCACGGCUAACUACGUG